GCCCUUUCCGUAGGUGAACCUGCGGAGGGAUCAUUACUGAGUUUACGCUCUAUAACCCUUUGUGAACAUACCUAUCACUGUUGCUUCGGCGGGUAGGGUCUCCGCGACCCUCCCGGCCUCCCGCCUCCGGGCGGGUCGGCGCCCGCCGGAGGAUAACCAAACUCUGAUUUAACGACGUUUCUUCUGAGUGGUACAAGCAAAUAAUCAAAACUUUUAACAACGGAUCUCUUGGUUCUGGCAUCGAUGAAGAACGCAGCGAAAUGCGAUAAGUAAUGUGAAUUGCAGAAUUCAGUGAAUCAUCGAAUCUUUGAACGCACAUUGCGCCCGCCAGCAUUCUGGCGGGCAUGCCUGUUCGAGCGUCAUUUCAACCCUCAAGCUCUGCUUGGUGUUGGGGCCCUACAGCUGAUGUAGGCCCUCAAAGGUAGUGGCGGACCCUCCCGGAGCCUCCUUUGCGUAGUAACUUUACGUCUCGCACUGGGAUCCGGAGGGACUCUUGCCGUAAAACCCCCCAAUUUUCCAAAGGUUGACCUCGGAUCAGGUAGGAAUACCCGCUGAACUUAAGCAUAUCAAUAAGCGGAGG
Molecule: ribosomal RNA, 580 nt
Filed under: Colletotrichum gloeosporioides
Lineage: Eukaryota; Fungi; Ascomycota; Sordariomycetes; Glomerellales; Glomerellaceae
Description: eukaryotic LSU rRNA
Rfam family: 5.8S ribosomal RNA (bases 209-362)
Source: RNAcentral